This 498-nucleotide ribosomal RNA is filed under the name uncultured bacterium. RNAcentral describes it as "partial 16S ribosomal RNA". It matches the Rfam family "Bacterial small subunit ribosomal RNA", at positions 28 to 523 of the family's 1533-position model. The record is from RNAcentral.
GAUGAACGCUAGCGGCAGGCCUAAUACAUGCAAGUCGAGGGGUAGAGCGGUGCUUGCACUGCUUGGGACCGGCGCACGGGUGCGUAACGCGUAUGCAACCUACCCUUUUCUGGGGGAUAGCCCGGAGAAAUCCGGAUUAAUACCGCAUAAGACCACGGUACGGCAUCGUAAGGGGGUCAAACAUUUAUGGGAGAAGGAUGGGCAUGCGUGCCAUUAGCGAGUUGGCGGGGUAACGGCCCACCAAGGCGACGAUGGCUAGGGGAUCUGAGAGGAUGGCCCCCCACACUGGUACUGAGACACGGACCAGGCUCCUACGGGAGGCAGCAGUAAGGAAUAUUGGUCAAUGGAGGCAACUCUGAACCAGCCAUGCCGCGUGCAGGAAGACGGCCCUCCGGGUUGUAAACUGCUUUUAUUCGGGAAUAAACCUAGAUACGUGUAUCUAGCUGAAUGUACCGAAGGAAUAAGGAUCGGCUAACUCCGUGCCAGCAGCCGCCGUAA